ACAUGAAGCUGGAAUCGCUAGUAAUCGCGGAUCAGAAUGCCGCGGUGAAUACGUUCCCGGGUCUUGUACACACCGCCCGUCACACCAUGGGAGUCGGGAAUGCCCGAAGUCAGUGACCCAACCGGAAGGAGGGAGCUGCCGAAGGCAGGCUCGAUAACUGGGGUGAAGUCGUAACAAGGUAAC
Molecule: ribosomal RNA, 183 nt
Filed under: uncultured bacterium
Lineage: Bacteria
Description: partial 16S ribosomal RNA
Rfam family: Bacterial small subunit ribosomal RNA
Source: RNAcentral